GAAUGCGAACUAAAUCAACAACUCUUUGGUGCAUGUUUUCUUAUUUAGUUACGUUGUUUAAUCUGCAAUAUAAAUUUUAGAACAUACGGCUGAUGGUAAGUUUCAAUAUUGACAAUACGUAAUAGAAGAUAAGAAAUUGAAUUACAAUUUGUGAGCUCACAAACGAGGAACUAGACUGCAUUGAUGCUCCACUCUCGCUAAUAAUACUUGAACCCUAAAUAAAAUAAAAUAUUCAAACAAGAAGUUGAAUGGUGCAAGUGGCAGUGUGGGAGUCUGUUGAGAAGGUUUAAAAUAUUUCUUAUUUAGUUUGCUGCUUUCUUGUAAUAUUUAAUCUCAGUUGCUAGAAGUUAUCUCAUUUAUGUUUCUGUAGGUGCAGAUCCAGUCUCAAGUUCAUUAAUCUGCGUGUCUGUGACUCUCGAAAGCAAGAAGCAAAUCAAUAGAACCAGCCCUUCUUUUCCAGAUUGCCCUUGAUCCAUGGAGAUAUAGACGAAUAUCAUGGCGGAAGGAGAUGGAGACCGACUCACUGAUCUGCCGGAGCCAAUUCUUCUCCACAUACUCUCUAUGUUUUGGAACAAUAAAGAAGUUGCUAGAUCCAGCGUGUUAUCAGCGAGAUGGAGGUUUCUUUGGUAGUCUGUUCCAUUAUCACUCGAUCUCCUCUUCCCAGAGUAUCCCUGUGCUAUUAAAAUAAACAAAAAGAAGAUUCUUGCUUUCGUAGCUUCCACCAGUUGAGAGCUUCACUAUAGGAGGUUAGCGAGAAAAUCCAAGCAUUCAGGGUUUUUCCUCUAUAAAUACCGGGAGUAUCUUGCUGAGAUGUGGAUUUUUGGGAAUACGUCGUUGAGGAAUUUGGUUCUAGGCAACUUGACAGCUAAACCCUUCUGGUAGCGUUGACUGGAGUAGUCUGGUUUCUCUUUCAAUUGGGGACCUGCUUUUAACGGAGGGUGUCAUGGAAAAAGUUUUAUCAGGUUGCCUAACUUGGAGUGCUUGGAACUAGAUGAAGUUUGUGGCAUUCGUUGUUUGGAAAUCAGCUCUGUGAAGAUGAGAAAAUUGAUCAUCAUAACAAACUCCGAAGCAAAAGUUGAUGAU
Lycium ferocissimum is the source of this 1083-nucleotide long non-coding RNA. RefSeq lists it as uncharacterized. The record is from RefSeq and is a predicted model, not a curated record. The transcript has 3 exons. Lineage: Eukaryota; Viridiplantae; Streptophyta; Magnoliopsida; Solanales; Solanaceae.